CUCAUGACGAACGCUGGCGGCGUGCUUAACACAUGCAAGUCGAACGGAAAGGCCCUGCUUUUGUGGGGUGCUCGAGUGGCGAACGGGUGAGUAACACGUGAGUAACCUGCCCUUGACUUUGGGAUAACUUCAGGAAACUGGGGCUAAUACCGGAUAGGAGCUCCUGCUGCAUGGUGGGGGUUGGAAAGUUUCGGCGGUUGGGGAUGGACUCGCGGCUUAUCAGCUUGUUGGUGGGGUAGUGGCUUACCAAGGCUUUGACGGGUAGCCGGCCUGAGAGGGUGACCGGCCACAUUGGGACUGAGAUACGGCCCAGACUCCUACGGGAGGCAGCAGUGGGGAAUAUUGCACAAUGGGCGGAAGCCUGAUGCAGCAACGCCGCGUGCGGGAUGACGGCCUUCGGGUUGUAAACCGCUUUCGCCUGUGACGAAGCGUGAGUGACGGUAAUGGGUAAAGAAGCACCGGCUAACUACGUGCCAGCAGCCGCGGUGAUACGUAGGGUGCGAGCGUUGUCCGGAUUUAUUGGGCGUAAAGGGCUCGUAGGUGGUUGAUCGCGUCGGAAGUGUAAUCUUGGGGCUUAACCCUGAGCGUGCUUUCGAUACGGGUUGACUUGAGGAAGGUAGGGGAGAAUGGAAUUCCUGGUGGAGCGGUGGAAUGCGCAGAUAUCAGGAGGAACACCAGUGGCGAAGGCGGUUCUCUGGGCCUUUCCUGACGCUGAGGAGCGAAAGCGUGGGGAGCGAACAGGCUUAGAUACCCUGGUAGUCCACGCUGUAAACGGUGGGUACUAGGUGUGGGGUCCAUUCCACGGGUUCCGUGCCGUAGCUAACGCUUUAAGUACCCCGCCUGGGGAGUACGGCCGCAAGGCUAAAACUCAAAGGAAUUGACGGGGCCCCGCACAAGCGGCGGAGCAUGCGGAUUAAUUCGAUGCAACGCGUAGAACCUUACCUGGGUUUGACAUGGAUCGGGAGUGCUCAGAGAUGGGUGUGCCUCCUUUGGGGUCGGUUCACAGGUGGUGCAUGGCUGUCGUCAGCUCGUGUCGUGAGAUGUUGGGUUAAGUCCCGCAACGAGCGCAACCCUUGUUCACUGUUGCCAGCACGUUAUGGUGGGGACUCAGUGGAGACCGCCGGGGUCAACUCGGAGGAAGGUGGGGAUGACGUCAAGUCAUCAUGCCCCUUAUGUCCAGGGCUUCACGCAUGCUACAAUGGCUGGUACAGAGAGUGGCGAGCCUGUGAGGGUGAGCGAAUCUCGGAAAGCCGGUCUCAGUUCGGAUUGGGGUCUGCAACUCGACCUCAUGAAGUCGGAGUCGCUAGUAAUCGCAGAUCAGCAACGCUGCGGUGAAUACGUUCCCGGGGCUUGUACACACCGCCCGUCAAGUCAUGAAAGUUGGUAACACCCGAAGCCGGAGGCCUAACCGUUGUGGGGGAGCCGUCGAAGGUG
RNAcentral lists this ribosomal RNA (1434 nucleotides) under uncultured organism. RNAcentral's name for it is "16S ribosomal RNA". It matches the Rfam family "Bacterial small subunit ribosomal RNA". The record is from RNAcentral.